UAAUAAUAAAUGAUAUAAUAAUAAUAAUAAUAGUGAUAAAUAAAAUAAUAAUGAUUAUUAUUAUUAUUAUUAUUAUUAUUAUUAUUAUCGGUAGGUUUACAAAAUUCGUGACGAAAAAAAUAUUAUUUAUAAAUAAUCUUUAUGAACAUGUGAAAUAAUGUGAGUGAAAGAUUUUAGUAUAUCAUUUUAUAGUGUUUGAAGUGUAAAAGUUUAUAGAAGUUUAAGUGAGUUUAAAUAAAACUUCAUCAAUUAGAUUUUUCAAGCUCCAUUCUUAUUUGAAAGCUAAAAUGUGAGGGUAUUAUUUAAAUAAUUUUAUGUUUUUUAAACAUUUUAACGUUGUUUUCACGAUAAACAAUUUUUUUUAUUUUAUUUGUUAGUAAUUAAAAAAAAAUAAUUAACAUUCUUAAGAAAUAAUACUCCAAAAGCAACGAAAUACCUUCUACACGUGUUUUCCAUUAAGAUAAAAUGGAGUUGGAUUAGUAUUUUUCAUUAAAGAAGAGGAUGUUGAUAACUUCGACGGACAACGUCGACACGAAUGGCACGGAAUUUCAUAUAAAAAAUUAAAUUUAAUUGAUAGAAUGUCGAAAAAAUGUUAUGAGUAGAGGCGUGUGAAUGAUAUUCCACUAAUUCAUGAGCGCAAAAGGCCCAGAGUAACCCAAUAAUAAUUUAAUGUAACAACUACCCAGUCGGGUGCUCUAUAAAAUUACAAGUCCAAGAGUCUCUUGGCACGGAUGGCACGGAAUUUGUAUAAAAAAUUAAAUUUAAUCGAUGAAAUGUCGAGAAAUUGUUUUGGAUAAAGGCGUGUGAAUAAUAUUUAACCAAUUUAUUAGCACAAAUAGCCCAGAGUAACUCGAAAAAAAUUAAAUCUUGCUGGUGUCCAGCCGAGUACUCAAUUUAAAUACAAGUCCAACUAUCUCUUGGCACGGAUGGCACGGAAUAAAAUAUUAAAAAUUAAGUUUAAUUGAUGAAAUGUCCAGAAAUUGUUAUGAAUAAAGGCGUGUGAAUUAUAUUCCACCAAUUUACUGGUAUAAAUAGUCCAGAGUAACUCAAAGAAAUUUGAAUUUUGCUGGUAUUCAGCCGAGUACUCAAUAAAAAGACAAGUCUAGCAAUUUCUUGGCACGGAAUUUCAUGCAAUUCAUUUAAUUUAAUAAAUAAAAUGCCGUGUAUUCAUAACAAAUAAAAGCGUGUAAAUUAUAUUUCACUGAUUAAUGAGCACAAAUGGCCCAGAGUACCCAAAAAUAAUUUAAUUAAACGAGUACCCAGUCGGGUGCUCAAUAAAAUUACAAGUCCGGGAGUCUCUUGGCACGGAUGGCACGGAAUUUGUAUAAAAAAUUAAAUUUAAUUGAUGAAAUGUCGAGAAAUUUUUAUGAAUAAAGGCGUGUGAAUUAUUUCCCACUAAUUAAUUAGGGAGAAUUGCCCAGAGCAACUUAUUAUAAAUUGAAACUGGCUGGUAUUCAGCCGAGUACUCAAUAAAAAUACAAGACUCGCAAUUUCUUGGCACGGAAUUUCAUGCAAUUAAUUUAAUUUAAUAAAUUAAAUUCCGUGUAUUCGUUAUAAAUAAUAGCGUGUGAAUUAUAUUCCACAAAUUUAUUGCCAUAAAUAGCCCAGAGUGACUAAAAUGAAAAAUUAAAUCUUGCUGUUGUCCGGCCGAGUACUCUAUAUAAAUACAAGUCCAACUAUCUCUUGGCACGGAUGGCAUGGAAUAAAAUAUUAAAAAUUAAGUUUAAUUGAUGAAAUGUCCAGAAAUUGUUAUGAAUAAA
This is a long non-coding RNA of Cotesia glomerata, 1760 nucleotides long. RefSeq lists it as uncharacterized. Lineage: Eukaryota; Metazoa; Arthropoda; Insecta; Hymenoptera; Braconidae. The transcript is spliced from 2 exons. The record is from RefSeq and is a predicted model, not a curated record.